UACAGAGGGGGCAAGCGUUGUUCGGAAUUACUGGGCGUAAAGGGCGCGUAGGCGGCCUUCUAAGUCGAACGUGAAAUCCCCGGGCUCAACCCGGGAACUGCGUCCGAUACUGGAAGGCUUGAAUCCGGGAGAGGGAUGCGGAAUUCCAGGUGUAGCGGUGAAAUGCGUAGAUAUCUGGAGGAACACCGGUGGCGAAGGCGGCAUCCUGGACCGGCAUUGACGCUGAGGCGCGAAAGCUAGGGUAGCAAACGGG
This 253-nucleotide ribosomal RNA is filed under the name uncultured bacterium. RNAcentral describes it as "partial 16S ribosomal RNA". It matches the Rfam family "Bacterial small subunit ribosomal RNA", at positions 524 to 776 of the family's 1533-position model. The record is from RNAcentral.